CGAACGGGUGAGUAACACAUCGGAACGUGCCCAGUAGUGGGGGAUAACCCGGCGAAAGCCGGAUUAAUACCGCAUAAGACCUGAGGGUGAAAGCGGGGGAUCGCAAGACCUCGCGCUCUUGGAGCGGCCGAUGUCAGAUUAGCUUGUUGGUGGGGUAAAAGCCUACCAAGGCGACGAUCUGUAGCUGGUCUGAGAGGACGACCAGCCACACUGGAACUGAGACACGGCCCAG
Molecule: ribosomal RNA, 232 nt
Filed under: uncultured bacterium
Lineage: Bacteria
Description: partial 16S ribosomal RNA
Rfam family: Bacterial small subunit ribosomal RNA
Source: RNAcentral